Molecule: long non-coding RNA, 535 nt
Filed under: Mytilus galloprovincialis (Mediterranean mussel)
Lineage: Eukaryota; Metazoa; Mollusca; Bivalvia; Mytilida; Mytilidae
Source: RNAcentral
UGUUUAUUGGGGGUCUCAUUGGGGGGUUCCGAUCCCGGAUCCCGCAUACUGUUUUGUCAGAUUCCCGUAUCCCGCUUACACUAUGAACGUAAGCAAUUCUCAUUUUUUUGUCAUUUCCCGGGUCCCGCUAGACCUCAUUUCCCGUUUUCACGACACAAUAAUUGGACUUUCACGUGUCCCGCUUACAAAAAAUCUGCAAUCCCGCGUCACGCUUAGACCCCAAUGAGACCCACUUUAUUUUUUAUUAAAAGUACAAACCAACCUGUAAAUUCCAAAAUACCUCGUGCUGGGUCACUAAAGUCGAGCGCACCCUAAAAGGUGUACUUGAUUUGGUCCAUAUUUUUAUUUGUUUUAACCAAUAACUACAUUAAUAAACUUGUUUUGAGGAAAUCAAUGCUAGCACUGCAUGCAAUAAUCCUAUAUCUAUCAGUCAUCAAAUUGCCAAAUCUGAGAGUGCAAGGAUAAAGGCUGUGGAUUUUCUAUAAAAUUUCCAUAUGUUUAACAUUUAAUCAACACAAGGGUACAUAAUCCUUAA